This 253-nucleotide ribosomal RNA is filed under the name uncultured bacterium. RNAcentral describes it as "partial 16S ribosomal RNA". It matches the Rfam family "Bacterial small subunit ribosomal RNA", at positions 524 to 776 of the family's 1533-position model. The record is from RNAcentral.
UACGUAGGGGGCAAGCGUUGUCCGGAAUCAUUGGGCGUAAAGCGCGUGUAGGCGGCUCGGUAAGUCUGCUGUGAAAGUCCAGGGCUCAACCCUGGGAUGCCGGUGGAUACUGUCGAGCUCGAGUCCGGAAGAGGCGAGUGGAAUUCCUGGUGUAGCGGUGGAAUGCGCAGAUAUCAGGAGGAACACCGAUGGCGAAGGCAGCUCGCUGGGACGGUACUGACGCUGAGGCGCGAAAGCGUGGGGAGCGAACAGG